AUUGAACGCUGGCGGCAGGCUUAACACAUGCAAGUCGAGCGGAGAUGAGGUGCUUGCACCUUAUCUUAGCGGCGGACGGGUGAGUAAUGCUUAGGAAUCUGCCUAUUAGUGGGGGACAACAUCCCGAAAGGAAUGCUAAUACCGCAUACGUCCUACGGGAGAAAGCAGGGGAUCUUCGGACCUUGCGCUAAUAGAUGAGCCUAAGUCGGAUUAGCUAGUUGGUGGGGUAAAGGCCUACCAAGGCGACGAUCUGUAGCGGUUCUGAGAGGAUGAUCCGCCACACUGGGACUGAGACACGGCCCAGACUCCUACGGGAGGCAGCAGUGGGGAAUAUUGGACAAUGGGGGAACCCUGAUCCAGCCAUGCCGCGUGUGUGAAGAAGGCCUUAUGGUUGUAAAGCACUUUAAGCGAGGAGGAGGCUACUGAGACUAAUACUCUUGGAUAGUGGACGUUACUCGCAGAAUAAGCACCGGCUAACUCUGUGCCAGCCGCCGCGGUAA
This 500-nucleotide ribosomal RNA is filed under the name uncultured bacterium. RNAcentral's name for it is "partial 16S ribosomal RNA". It matches the Rfam family "Bacterial small subunit ribosomal RNA", at positions 30 to 523 of the family's 1533-position model. The record is from RNAcentral.